Molecule: ribosomal RNA, 274 nt
Filed under: uncultured bacterium
Lineage: Bacteria
Description: partial 16S ribosomal RNA
Rfam family: Bacterial small subunit ribosomal RNA
Source: RNAcentral
AUACAGAGGGUGCAAGCGUUAAUCGGAGUGACUGGGCGUAAAGGGCGUGUAGGUGGAUAGAUAAGUUAUGUGUGAAAUAUCCGGGCUUAACCUGGAGGGGUCAUGUAAUACUGUUUAUCUAGAGUAGAGCAGAGGGAAGUAGAAUUUCCGGUGUAGCGGUGAAAUGCGUAGAGAUCUGAAGGAAUACCAGUGGCGAAGGCGGCUUCCUGGGCUCAUACUGACACUGAGGCGCGAAAGCGUGGGUAGCAAACAGGAUUAGAAACCCUAGUAGUCC